This 67-nucleotide transfer RNA is filed under the name Paratoxodera polyacantha. RNAcentral describes it as "tRNA-Ser". Lineage: Eukaryota; Metazoa; Arthropoda; Insecta; Mantodea; Toxoderidae. The record is from RNAcentral.
AAGAUGUGUAGAACGAGUGAAAGCUGCUAACUUUGUAUUCAAGUGGUUAAAAUCCAUUUACAUCUUA